UCCGUCCUCCCAUUGGCUAGGCCGCCUGUGACCCCGCCCCUGAGGAACCAGAGCUGGGGCCCAGGGGGCUGGGCCAGCCUCAGGGGAGGGGCCUUAAAGAGCCCCGGCGGUGUCCAGUGAGCCCAGAGCGGGCAGCGGAGACAAGCAAGAUAGGAAAGGUGGAGGAGCUAAUGUCACAGAGAACUGAAGUAAUUUGUCCAAGACCCUACAGCUUCUGGUGAACCAGGAUUUGAACCCAGGCAAUCAGCACCUGAAUGAGGGCUCCACCAUGCCACUGUACCCCUUCAGAGGGAAUCUUGCCCUUCCUCCCACCUCUUCCCCUCCUGCAAGGCUCCCUAGUCCACUCACCUUGCCGAAGGUCAAUUUCUGCCAGCUGCCCAUGAGUGUUGCCCACGAUCACUGAACUAAGGAGAAGACCAGAGGUGGCCUCUAGGACUGGCCGACGCUGGGGAGAGGCUGGAUCGUAGACACGGACCUGGAGAACACCGAAGCAUCACGAGAGCACCCUCACGCCACAUACCCGUCCCUGGAUUGUCUGUAUCUUCACUCCCUCCUUCAUACACUGCUUUCUUAUGACCCACUCUUAGAGAAACUUUCUCAUCUGAAACGUACCCCCCUCUUGCUCUGAGUGUCAGGGAAGAGUGGGCAGAGGAGAUCUGCUUAGGGAGAGAGGUCCCCCAGGUUAGGGGGGGUGACAGCAUUUCCAGGGUCCACAUGUGUGGGCAUUCCACCCCUCCAUACUCCCAUCUUGGCAUGAAAAGGCAAGCCAGUCCAAUUUUCAGAGACUACUGAAUUUCAGGCAGAGAAAUUUAGCCUGAGCAACAGAGGGGAGAGUAAGCCCUCACAGUGUGUUUUGAACAGCGA
Felis catus (domestic cat) is the source of this 864-nucleotide long non-coding RNA. RefSeq lists it as uncharacterized. The record is from RefSeq and is a predicted model, not a curated record. The transcript is spliced from 3 exons. NCBI's taxonomy places the organism in Eukaryota, Metazoa, Chordata, Mammalia, Carnivora, Felidae.